This 431-nucleotide ribosomal RNA is filed under the name uncultured bacterium. RNAcentral describes it as "bacterial SSU rRNA". It matches the Rfam family "Bacterial small subunit ribosomal RNA", at positions 355 to 776 of the family's 1533-position model. The record is from RNAcentral.
UGGGGAAUAUUGGACAAUGGGCGCAAGCCUGAUCCAGCAAUACCGCGUGUGUGAAGAAGGCCUUCGGGUUGUAAAGCACUUUUGUUAGGGAGGAUGGUGAUUUUGAUUAAUACUCGAAGUCAUUGACGUUACCUAAAGAAUCAGCACCGGCUAACUCCGUGCCAGCAGCCGCGGUAAUACGGAGGGUGCAAGCGUUAAUCGGAUUUACUGGGCGUAAAGGGUGCGUAGGCGGUUACUUAAGUCAGAUGUGAAAUCCCCGGGCUCAACCUGGGAAUUGCAUUUGAUACUGUGUGACUUAGAAUGUGGUAGAGGGUAGCGGAAUUUCUGGUGUAGCGGUGAAAUGCGUAGAUAUCAGAAGGAACAUCAAUGGCGAAGGCAGCUACCUGGGCCAACAUUGACGCUGAGGCACGAAAGCGUGGGGAGCAAACAGG